This 695-nucleotide ribosomal RNA is filed under the name uncultured bacterium. RNAcentral's name for it is "bacterial SSU rRNA". It matches the Rfam family "Bacterial small subunit ribosomal RNA", at positions 140 to 851 of the family's 1533-position model. The record is from RNAcentral.
GGGACAACAGUUGGAAACGACUGCUAAUACCGCAUAAGCCCACGGAUCCGCAUGGAUCUGCGGGAAAAGGAUUUAUUCGCUCUAGGAUGGACUCGCGUCCAAUUAGCUAGUUGGUGAGGUAACGGCCCACCAAGGCGACGAUUGGUAGCCGGACUGAGAGGUUGAACGGCCACAUUGGGACUGAGACACGGCCCAGACUCCUACGGGAGGCAGCAGUGGGGGAUAUUGCACAAUGGGGGAAACCCUGAUGCAGCGACGCCGCGUGGAGGAAGAAGGUUUUCGGAUUGUAAACUCCUGUCGUUAGGGACGAUAAUGACGGUACCUAACAAGAAAGCACCGGCUAACUACGUGCCAGCAGCCGCGGUAAAACGUAGGGUGCAAGCGUUGUCCGGAAUUACUGGGUGUAAAGGGAGCGCAGGCGGACCGGCAAGUUGGAAGUGAAAACUAUGGGCUCAACCCAUAAAUUGCUUUCAAAACUGCUGGCCUUGAGUAGUGCAGAGGUAGGUGGAAUUCCCGGUGUAGCGGUGGAAUGCGUAGAUAUCGGGAGGAACACCAGUGGCGAAGGCGACCUACUGGGCACCAACUGACGCUGAGGCUCGAAAGCAUGGGUAGCAAACAGGAUUAGAUACCCUGGUAGUCCAUGCCGUAAACGAUGAUAACUAGGUGUUGGAGGAUUGACCCCUUCAGUGCCGCAG